GGCUACCUUUGCUCUGCAAGAGAAGAAAACAGUGCCUACACAUGCCUAUAGAAAAGUGUCAUUGAGGAUAUUCCCAGGUAAGAAGGUAUAGGGUUGUAGCUUUAGAACACAAAUAAUCUGCAUUUAAAUGUAUGUGGUCAGGGGAAUGUGGUAGUAAUAUAUGUCCCAGUUAGAAAGAAUGGUUGACAUGAUCUUUCAGGUAUCCUGGUCCCAAGCUGUAUAGGGUUUUAUAUGCCAAAACUAGCACUUUGAACUUAGCCUGGUAGCUAAUAUUAGGCUGUGCAGUGUUUGGGUUUAAUUUAGGAAUACAGUAUUGUAUUUAGGAAUACAGUUUGAUUUAGCAAUACAGUGUUGUAUUCCCACAACUCAGUGAGUGUGGAUUUGGGUCCUUGGCAGAAAGAUAGUGUGGCAAUUACUAAUUUCUCAUCCUUCCCCUGCCCUACAGUUUCAUGCAGACGGAUCCUAUGCCUAUUUACUCAGAAGUAAGUCUCACUGUGUUCAGUCGGGCCUACACCCUUGUAAGUAUGUACAAGAAGAUUGCCCUUGCAAGACUUUGCCUGAGUACAGCUGCACAGUUCAAGUCUCUUGCACUAGGGCAAUCUGGAAAUACUGAAACUGUGCCAAUACAGGAGCAUCUAUGCAUAAUCUUAUUUAUUUUGAGCUCUCUUUGGCAGGAGAUAGAAUUACUCUCUUUUAAAAGUUAUAAUUGCAUAAACAGAACAGCUCCUGCUGAAAGCCAGUGAAUGUUUAACAUUAGUGAGGUUUUGUGCCUUUAAAAAAAUCUCUUUCUGAACUUGUUAUUGCAGAGAAAUUAAAUAUUCAAAGCCUUGGGUGGGAAGCGUGUGUGAAGAGAAGCCUUCACGAAACUCAUGCAUUAUGUAUAUGGGAGGGGAUUCCCUCUUUCUGAAUAUGUAUUUCAGAUUCUGGCAAUCGGCUAAGUAAAAUCACUUCUUUCCAUGGUAGUGAGUAUUUUUAACUUCUCUUGGAGAGAGAAAAAGCAACUCCCUCAAGAUGCCAGUGGGGGGGGGGGAGUACUAGCUUUUACAGAAAUUAGGCUAGUCUUCUGUCAUCCUGAAUAUUUCCAGAAACCUGUGAGUUUAGAAAAAAAGAUUUCCUAGGGUCACGCUUCAAUACUGGGGUGAAGGGUAAGCAUUUAGGAAGUGUGAAAAAAUACCCUGCAGGUAGCUAAGUUUCCAGUACAGUGCCAUCUAAUUAUUUUCCCUUCUGAAACUUUAGCAGUUUUAGGAAAUUGUGUGAUCUGUGGUCUUUCAGGAAUGCAGAAGGGAGUUUAAAAAGUCUCUCCUGAAGGAUUCUCCCCAACAACUCAAAGGAGGUGUCUACAUUCAGUCCUGAAUUGACAACCUGACCCCAUUUUAAGGUUUUGGAAUGUACAGUAAUAUGUCACGGAGAGACUAGUUACAUUCCCAUGAAUCGCCUUCUUAAAUGAAAUGCCAAAUUCUAACACCUUGUCGUUUCUCUGUUUCCUUAAACUUACAUUCAUUUGCAUACGCCCGCCUCUCAUGAGAUCGCAUGUGGACAGUAUCUUAUGCUUCUUCCGUUUCUUUAUAGUUAAAGAUGGCAAAGGCCUAGUCGUAGCUGCCCUACUGUAGCUGCCCUUUCUUCUUGGCUGGAGUUUUCUGCUGGGAAAUCUGAAACAAUAAAUUGCAGGCUUGUGAACCAGGUCUCCAGCUAGCUCCUGGGCUAAAGGUUGUGCAAAACAGCACUUCUGCUUCGUUAUAUGAUAACCAGUUGAUACUGAUGUCUUAGGUCCCUUCCAUAACAUACAUUUAACACACUGUUUUGCUGCUACCCACCCACAGGAAUCCCAGGAACUGUAAAGUACUGGGAACUGUAGUUCUGUGAGGAAGCUCCUAACAACUACGUACUAUGAUUCCCAGAAUUCUUUGGGGGAGGCCAUGAUUGUUAAAGUGGUAUAAGAGUGCUUUAAACAUACAAUGUGGAUGUGACCUUUGUGCUCCCCAGCUCCCCCAGCUGAUAAUAGAUUUGAAGCAUCUUAAGUGAGGAGCAUCCUCUUAAUAUCCCUGAACUUUUAACAUUUCUUAACCAAGGCUGGAUCUAGACACCUCAAACAAGUGUUUCAGUUAAACGUGCUAUAAAUUUAAACAGGGAAAACAGGUAGAGAAAAACAGGAGUCCACAUCACCAUCUGGUGGCAUAAUGUUAUAUUGCAUAUGCAACACAUAUAAAUCGCUUUUUCUUUACCAAUCUAGCUGAGUCCCAAGCUGUCCUACAUUUUCCCGCAUAAUGAUUGUAAAACAGCAACAAGAACGUAAGAAUGCUGGCGUACCCCGCCCGUUGGUCUGAACCUUUUGCUUUUACUUAUUUAAAGCAAGGAUUACGGAGAGACAGCUAACCAGCAUCGCAUUUGCCAACAAACAUGAACACACAGUUUCUGUGAACUAAACUCCCUGCGGAAGUGUGAUGGAUCAUGAGGUUUCCAUUUUUUGGAAGACUGCUGCUUCUCAUUAUCAAAUCUCUGUGAUCUCUAGUUUUCUGGAGAUCUCUCUAGGGUAGUGUAUAAUGUUCUUCCUCCAUUUCUAUUGAGACAAGCAGCUGUUUUACGGGAGGACAAGCUCCUCCUGGAAGAGGAACGUUAAUUUGCUUUGCUGGGGACGACUGCUGGUGAAAGACUGACAUCACCCUCCCCCUUUAACUAGAAAACAAAUCCCAAAAAUGCAAUAAUCUGCAUAACAUUCCCAUGUUGUUUUCUUCCAAGAAACUGCAGCAGCUCCUUAUAUGCAGUGCACAUGUAACACCAAACACCAAACCAAAGCAGGGAGUCCAGCGCUUCAAUCAAUAUUCCAUUUUUUGUCGCUGGAGCACAAGCAAUAACCAAACUGGUCCCCUAGGGAAUCACGUAGCUCUGAAACCUGCUGCCACAAGUGGUGGUGAUAGCUGCUAGCUUAGAUGGUUUUAAGAGGGGAAUAGCCAACUUAACUGAGAAUAGCUCUAUCCAUGGCUGUUGGCCGUGGUUAUUAUAUUGAUACUAUAGAUUGGUAUGGUAGCAUGCAAUGGAAUACAAGCUGCUGGGAAGCAGCAGUGAGAGAGCACUAUUGCUUGUAGGCUUACCGGACUUCUGUUUAUACCCUGAUUGGCCACUCUGGGAGGCAGGAACCUGGGCUAGAGGCACCUUUGGUCUCAGCUAGCAGGGUUUUUCCUAUGGUUUAGUUGCUAAAAGUCCCCCUUUCAAAAUCUUUAAAAUAUUGGUAGCCUUAGACUAGGUCACAAGGUCAGCCCAUACAAAGCUGUACCGCAGUUUGAGAUCCAGACAUCCCUUGGAAAGUAGUGAAUGGACAGAAUAAACUUGAGAUAUCCGUAAGAAGCAUUUUCAUUUGCAUAAUAAUAAUAAUAAUAAUAAUAAUAAUUUAUACCCCGCCCAUCUGGCUGGGUUUCCCCAGCCACUCUGGGCAGCAUUGACAAAACAUAGGAAUCCACCAGUGAUGUUUGGUCAGUGGACUAGAAGGACUAGGCUAGUCCCCUAAAUGUUCCCCUGGCGCCUCCUUCCCAAAGCCCAGGAAGCUUCUGUCUGGCUUAGGGAGGGAGGCGUGAUGCUUAUGCACAUGACGUCAAACACACACACACACACCUGCAUCACCCUCACAAGUUGGCAUUUCUGACCCUAACUGUUCCUCAAUGAAAAAUUUCAACACACACCUCUGGAAUCCAUAGGAAUUAGUUUAGCACAGUGAUUGUCUAAAAAUUGUACCAGGUUGGUUCAUUAGUCGCUGUGGCUACUGUGGUGCAGGGUAUAAGUCACAGCCACACUAUGCAUUUAACACAUUCUUAUAUCACUUUAACAGUCAUGACUUGCCCCGAAGAACCCCGGGAUCUGUAGUUUUAAAGGGGGCUCUUUGAGGGACAAACUACAGUUCUCUGGAUUCUUUGGGGGAAGCGAUGUGCUGUUGUUGUUGCUUAGUCAUUUAGUCAUGUCCGACUCUUCAUGACCCCAUGGACCAGAGCACGCCAUGUGCUAUAAAUGUGUUUAAAAUGUGUGGUGUUUGAAAACUGUAGUUUGUUAUGGUUGCUGGGAACUGAAAUUCUGCGUGGGGUCUCAUAACAACUCUUAAGCUACAGUUCCCAGUAUUCCAGGAAGCCAUGGCUGUUAAAAUGGUAUGAAUGCUUUAAAUGUGUAAUAUGGAUGUCAACAUAGUUUCCCAUGCAUAGUUUCCCAUGCAGAACUGAGAAUUUCACAUAUGCAUGUAACACGGAAAAUUGUGCGGUUUUUUUAAUCACUAAAAACUGGCAACCAUUUACAGUAGGCACUAAUGUGUAAGAAUUCUACUAAUCCACAGCCCUUGUUAAAUAAACUUGAGUUUGCACUGUGGCGCUCUAAGGUGAAUUUUCUGUUACAAGAUUGCCUGGAGAAACUGGAGAACUGGAUUCUGAGAGCACAAUAAGGUGUCUCUGCUGAUGAGAAUGCUCCAGCAUACUUUGACCUCCUAAAAGUCCAUGAUAAGAUGUGGUUAGCAAAUAGUGGCAUACAUCUGUUUAAAUGGAAACUGGAGGAACCAUUUUGGAGUGAGAUGAGUUCGGGGGACCUGUUCUUCCCAGGAACAGCCACAUCCUAAUUCUUAAGCAUAAUAAAGACCAUGGAAUGCCUUUCCCCCAGGAGUAGGUUUAAUUCAAUACCCUAUAAAGCUUGUUAUGUAUUCUAUUCACUCCUCAGAGAAGUAUCAUGAGGGUUAAUUAUUUUCCUGCUCUGACUCACAGUGAUUCUUGUGCCAGAGGAUUCUGGCAGGGAGUGUAAUCCUAGUGAUACCCCCAGUAAGGAAGCCAUUGUUAGCAGUGCUCACGAAGAAGCGCUAAUGGACCCUGCUGCAGAAGCUAAGAGCUUUGGCUCAAAGAUUAAAGGAGAGGCAGGGGCCUAGAAACCUUAAGACCAUGGCACUGCCCUUAAUAAAUUCUCACCACAAAUAGCUUUUUAGUAGCAAACAGCAGACAAUGCAAUUUCUCUCAUGGGGCCGAGCUGCUUUGGUAAAAGGGAAAGCAUACAUUAUUGAAGCUAGUGCUGGAAGCUGUUUGCUGCAUCAAGAGCACUAUAGAGACUGAAUCUUAGGUCAAAUCUAAAAAUGGUAUGUGCGUUUGAGUGCCAGACGCUGGGAACAGAAAGACUGACUCUUUCCACCAUGACCUGUGAGCUUCUCUGAUCAACGUUGGCUAGCCUGUAAUGUUAGUAAGCUGCCUUGUCCUGGAUGAUUGGUUUAUCCAGUUUACACUUGGGCUGGGGAAUCUGCGGUCCUCCAGAUGUUGUUGGACCACAACUGUUGCUCAUGAUAGCAGGGGUUGAUUGGAGUCGGGAGUCCACCAACUUCUGGAGGGCAACAAGUGUCCCAUCCCUGAUUUGCAUGUGCAAACGGUGGUCCUUCAGGUUCUCAGGCAAGAGUCUUUCCCAGCCCUAUACCUAAAUUGCCAGGGAUUGAACACGGAACCUUUUACAUGCAAAACAUGCACUCUCCUACUAAGCUAUGGCCUUUCCCACAAAUCCUAGAUUAGCUAUGUUUUUGUUCUGAUUCUGCAAACCACUCCUGGUGUUCAUAUAUUCCCAUCCUGGUGAAACCAGUGCAGUCUGUUUCUAGGUAUAUCAAGAGUAGUUUUAUUUUUCAUGCUAAUGAGACUGUUAGUACAAGGACACAUCCUGCCCAACAUGCAAUAAUAUUUUGUUAGUUUCAGCUGUCAUGUCUUCAUAGUUGUUCAGCCUUUACUUUGGUCUGAAGUUCUAGUUGUUUGUGGUUCUCUUUGUUCCAGGUAAAUAAUUGUUGAUGAUCCUUUUGGUCCCUUCCAACUCUACAAUUAUGUGAUUAUGUGGUCUUUUUUUUUUCAAAGGAUCAGGUAGUAGGGAAAGGAAAAUACCUCUGCCAGAGACCCAGGAGAGCUAUUGCCAGUCAUACUGGGCUAGAUGAACAAACCUGGUGUAGGGCAGCCUCCUAUGGUCUUAAAAUUUUAAUAGUAGUAGGAACCACGGUAACAUAAUUCUUAAGUCCCAGAACUGAAAAUCCCUGUAUGUGCCUUUAAAAGGAUUUUAGAGAGCAUUUAGUUCUGCAUUACCAGAAUGUGGUGCAUCCUUUGUUUUUCCCAAUCCCACCACAAUGAGACUUUUGUCAGUUUUGCAAACAGAUAACGUGUUCUUCUUGGCUCUAUUUCCUACCAUUUGUGGCUAAGCUCCUAUGGUUAGAAGUGUCUAGCAGCUGCAAAAUACAUCUAAAAACUGUAUCACUAUUUGUCAACAGCAGCUAUCAUUGGAUACAGUACAGCUCUACAGUGCUAGAUAAGAAGGCUCUGUGCGUGUGUGCGUGCCCGUGUGUGUGUGCGUGCGUGCAUGCAUGAACAAAUGAAUGUGUUAUUUGUAUGGUGUAAAUAGUAAGAGAGGUUUGAAAGAUUUCCAUUUUUUGUUCUGUGGACAGAGGAACAGAAGACAAUAUUUAUGUAUGCUACAACAGCCGCCAGAAUACUGUUAACCCAAAGAUGAAAUGAAGAAAAGAUACCAAUGAAAGAAGAAUGGCAGAUCAAGCUAAUGGACUAUGCAGAAAUGGCAAAAUUAACGGCAAAACUCAGAGGCUACAAUAAAUGAGAAAUUUAAAAAAGAGUGAGAAUUGUUUAUUGUUUAUGUGCAAAAAUACAGUAAGCAAGUUGAUACAUUGGCAGGCUUUUAAGUAAACGCUUGCAACUAGUAGAAAAUUAGAUAAAAUUAAGGGAAAUAAUCAUGGACAAAGUUUAAGAAUGGAUAUGCGGAAGAAAUUGGUUAAUAUAAGGAACCAGAAGAGGGUAUGGAGGGAAGUCCAGAGAUUUAAAGAAUCUCAAAGAGGAGGUUUGAAAAAAGGCAUUUGUUUUUAUUUGUAAAAAGGUAACUGUGA
Molecule: non-coding RNA, 6871 nt
Organism: Podarcis lilfordi (Lilford's wall lizard)
Lineage: Eukaryota; Metazoa; Chordata; Lepidosauria; Squamata; Lacertidae
Source: the annotation of a GenBank genome assembly